This 465-nucleotide ribosomal RNA is filed under the name Vreelandella stevensii. RNAcentral's name for it is "partial 16S ribosomal RNA". It matches the Rfam family "Bacterial small subunit ribosomal RNA", at positions 338 to 795 of the family's 1533-position model. The record is from RNAcentral. Lineage: Bacteria; Pseudomonadati; Pseudomonadota; Gammaproteobacteria; Oceanospirillales; Halomonadaceae.
CCUACGGGUGGCUGCAGUGGGGAAUAUUGGACAAUGGGCGAAAGCCUGAUCCAGCCAUGCCGCGUGUGUGAAGAAGGCCUUCGGGUUGUAAAGCACUUUCAGUGGGGAAGAAAGCCUUGGGGCUAAUACCCUCGAGGAAGGACAUCACCCACAGAAGAAGCACCGGCUAACUCCGUGCCAGCAGCCGCGGUAAUACGGAGGGUGCGAGCGUUAAUCGGAAUUACUGGGCGUAAAGCGCGCGUAGGCGGUCUGAUAAGCCGGUUGUGAAAGCCCCGGGCUCAACCUGGGAACGGCAUCCGGAACUGUCAGGCUAGAGUGCAGGAGAGGAAGGUAGAACUCCCGGUGUAGCGGUGAAAUGCGUAGAGAUCGGGAGGAAUACCAGUGGCGAAGGCGGCCUUCUGGACUGACACUGACGCUGAGGUGCGAAAGCGUGGGUAGCAAACAGGAUUAGAUACCCGAGUAGUC